GACGAACGCUGGCGGCGUGCCUAAUACAUGCAAGUCGAACGCAGUGGGGACGGGUGAGUGACAAGUGGGUAACCUCCCAUCAGAGGGGAUAACACUUGGAAAAAGGUGCUAAACCGAUACUGAUGGAUGGACCCGGGGUGGAUUAGCUAGUUGGUGGGGUAACGGCGCACCAAGGCCACGAUGCAGAGCCGGCCUGAGAGGAUGAUCGGCCACACUGGAACUGAGACACGGCCCAGACUCCUACGGGAGGCAGCAGUAGGGAAUCUUCGGCAAUGGACGAAAGUCUGACCGAGCAAUGCCGCGUGAGGGAAGAAGGUUUUCGGGUCGUAAAGCACUGUUAUUAGGGAAGCGGUAUCUAACCAGAAAGCCACGGCUAACUACGUGCCAGCCGCCGCGGUAAUAC
RNAcentral lists this ribosomal RNA (403 nucleotides) under uncultured bacterium. Its description in RNAcentral is "partial 16S ribosomal RNA". It matches the Rfam family "Bacterial small subunit ribosomal RNA", at positions 28 to 526 of the family's 1533-position model. The record is from RNAcentral.